GACGAACGCUGGCGGCGUGCUUAACACAUGCAAGUCGAACGGAAAGGCCCUGCUUUUGUGGGGUGCUCGAGUGGCGAACGGGUGAGUAACACGUGAGUAACCUGCCCUUGACUUUGGGAUAACUUCAGGAAACUGCGGCUAAUACCGGAUAGGAGCUCCUGCUGCAUGGUGGGGGUUGGAAAGUUUAGGCGGUUGGGGAUGGACUCGCGGCUUAUCAGCUUGUUGGUGGGGUAGUGGCUUACCAAGGCUUUGACGGGUAGCCGGCCUGAGAGGGUGAACGGCCACAUUGGGACUGAGAUACGGACCAGACUCCUACGGGAGGCAGCAGUGGGGAAUAUUGCACAAUGAGCGGAAGCGUGAUGAAGCAACGCCGCGUGCGGGAUGACGGCCUUCGGGUUGUAAACCGCUUUCGCCUGUGACGAAGCGUGAGUGACGGUAAUGGGUAAAGAAGCACCGGCUAACUACGUG
Molecule: ribosomal RNA, 468 nt
Filed under: uncultured bacterium
Lineage: Bacteria
Description: partial 16S ribosomal RNA
Rfam family: Bacterial small subunit ribosomal RNA
Source: RNAcentral